GUGCUUGCUUCAACAGCGCAUACACUAAAAUUGGAACAAUACAGAGAAGAAUAGCAUGGCCCCUGUGCAAGGAUGACAUGCAAAUUUGUGAAGUGUUCCAUAUUUAC
Phyllostomus hastatus (greater spear-nosed bat) is the source of this 107-nucleotide small nuclear RNA. NCBI's taxonomy places the organism in Eukaryota, Metazoa, Chordata, Mammalia, Chiroptera, Phyllostomidae. The record is from RefSeq and is a predicted model, not a curated record.